UGGCUCAGACGAAACGCUGGCGGCGUGCCUAACACAUGCAAGUCGAACGUGAAAGUCCUUCGGGAUGAGUAAAGUGGCGCACGGGUGAGUAAUGCGUAGAUAAUCUGCCUGGUGAUCAGGGAUAACAUCUCGAAAGGGGUGCUAAUACCGGAUAAGCCCACGGGGUCUUCGGAUCUUGCGGGAAAAGGGGGGGACCUUCGGGCCUUCUGUCAUCAGAUGAGUCUACGUACCAUUAGCUAGUUGGUAGGGUAAAGGCCUACCAAGGCGACGAUGGUUAGCUGGUCUGAGAGGAUGAUCAGCCACACUGGAACUGAGACACGGUCCAGACUCCUACGGGAGGCAGCAGUGGGGAAUUUUGCGCAAUGGGGGAAACCCUGACGCAGCAACGCCGCGUGAGUGAUGAAGGCCUUCGGGUCGUAAAGCUCUGUCAGAGGGAAAGAAAUGUGGGGCGCUAAUACCGCUACCACUUGACGGUACCCUCAAAGGAAGCACCGGCUAACUCCGUGCCAGCAGCCGCGGUAAUACGGAGGGUGCGAGCGUUGUUCGGAAUUAUUGGGCGUAAAGCGCGUGUAGGCGGUUUUAUAAGUCUGAUGUGAAAGCCCCGGGCUCAACCUGGGAAGUGCAUUGGAUACUGUAUGACUUGAGUACGGGAGAGGGCAGUGGAAUUCCUAGUGUAGGAGUGAAAUCCGUAGAUAUUAGGAGGAACACCGGUGGCGAAGGCGGCUGCCUGGACCGAUACUGACGCUGAGACGCGAAAGCGUGGGUAGCAAACAGGAUUAGAUACCCUGGUAGUCCACGCCGUAAACGAUGAGUACUAGGUGUUGCGGGUAUUGACCCCUGCAGUGCCGCAGCUAACGCAUUAAGUACUCCGCCUGGGAAGUACGGUCGCAAGACUAAAACUCAAU
This 905-nucleotide ribosomal RNA is filed under the name uncultured bacterium. Its description in RNAcentral is "bacterial SSU rRNA". It matches the Rfam family "Bacterial small subunit ribosomal RNA", at positions 20 to 905 of the family's 1533-position model. The record is from RNAcentral.